CAGUGGGGAAUAUUGGACAAUGGCGCAAGCCUGAUCCAGCAAUGCCGCGUGGGUGAAGAAGGCCUUCGGGUUGUAAAGCCCUUUUGUACGGGAAGAAAUCAUCCGGGUUAAUACCCUGGGUGGAUGACGGUACCGUAAGAAUAAGCACCGGCUAACUUCGUGCCAGCAGCCGCGGUAAUACGAAGGGUGCAAGCGUUAAUCGGAAUUACUGGGCGUAAAGCGUGCGUAGGUGGUUGUUCAAGUCUGUCGUGAAAGCCCUGGGCUCAACCUGGGAAUGGCGAUGGAAACUGGGCGACUGGAGUGCGGUAGAGGAUGGCGGAAUUCCCGGUGUAGCGGUGAAAUGCGUAGAGAUCGGGAGGAACAUCCGUGGCGAAGGCGGCCAUCUGGACCAGCACUGACACUGAGGCACGAAAGCGUGGGGAGCAAACAGGAUUAGAUACCCUGGUAGUCCACACCCUAAACGAUGCGAACUGGAUAUUGGUCUCAACUUGGAGAUCAGU
Molecule: ribosomal RNA, 500 nt
Filed under: uncultured Lysobacteraceae bacterium
Lineage: Bacteria; Pseudomonadati; Pseudomonadota; Gammaproteobacteria; Lysobacterales; Lysobacteraceae
Description: bacterial SSU rRNA
Rfam family: Bacterial small subunit ribosomal RNA
Source: RNAcentral